GUGGGGAAUAUUGGACAAUGGGCGAAAGCCUGAUCCAGCCAUGCCGCGUGUGUGAAGAAGGUCUUCGGAUUGUAAAGCACUUUAAGUUGGGAGGAAGGGCAUUAACCUAAUACGUUAGUGUUUUGACGUUACCGACAGAAUAAGCACCGGCUAACUUCGUGCCAGCAGCCGCGGUAAUACGAAGGGUGCAAGCGUUAAUCGGAAUUACUGGGCGUAAAGCGCGCGUAGGUGGUUCGUUAAGUUGGAUGUGAAAGCUCCGGGCUCAACCUGGGAACUGCAUCCAAAACUGGCGAGCUAGAGUACGGUAGAGGGUGGUGGAAUUUCCUGUGUAGCGGUGAAAUGCGUAGAUAUAGGAAUGAACACCAGUGGCGAAGGCGACCACCUGGACUGAUACUGACACUGAGGUGCGAAAGCGUGGGGAGCAAACAGGAUUAGAAACCCGGGUAGUCC
RNAcentral lists this ribosomal RNA (450 nucleotides) under uncultured bacterium. RNAcentral describes it as "partial 16S ribosomal RNA". It matches the Rfam family "Bacterial small subunit ribosomal RNA", at positions 354 to 796 of the family's 1533-position model. The record is from RNAcentral.